UUUCCGUAGGUGAACCUGCGGAAGGAUCAUUAAUUAUAUAAGGCCGCAGGGCAAGCUUUCCGAAAGGAUCGAGCUUGCUGUGUGAACCCUACCUACCCUUGCUUUUUGCGUACCCAUUGUUUCCUCGGCAGGCUUGCCUGCCAGUAGGACCCUCUUAAACCCUUUGUAAUUGCAGUCAGCGUCAGAAACAACGUAAUCGUUACAACUUUCAACAACGGAUCUCUUGGUUCUG
This 232-nucleotide unclassified non-coding RNA is filed under the name plant metagenome. RNAcentral describes it as "partial contains small subunit ribosomal RNA, internal transcribed spacer 1, and 5.8S ribosomal RNA". The record is from RNAcentral.